AGAUGUUAAAAGCAAGAGACAUGGGAGAGCAUCAUUCCUUUGAGAUUUUAUAACUCAAACCAACUUUGGAGUUGUCUGAUUUGGAGAGUCAUCAUUCUUGGUCUUCCCUCUUAAAGGCCACUGAUGAAGAACAGGCGGUGACUGGGAUGAAUCCUGGUCAGAGAGGAGUUCUUUCCCCUAAACUGAUGCAGCGGUGGUUUUAAAGGAGGACGCUGCCCUGGAUGAUGUAGAAGAUGUCACAUGCUGUGCUGAUGGGGUUUCUUCAUGAUUACAUCAGUUAUGCUAAAGAGAUCAUGAAAAUUGACUGUGAUGCAUGAUCUGUAUUCAUGGACUAUGAAACAAACUGUAAGUGUAUAAUUUGUUAAAAAAAAAAAAAAAGUUAAAUGCUUUUUCUGUGUUGUUUAGUAGAAGAGUUUACACUCUGUCAUUCAUACACCUGCUCACAUUCUUU
This is a long non-coding RNA of Carassius gibelio (silver crucian carp), 451 nucleotides long. RefSeq lists it as uncharacterized. NCBI's taxonomy places the organism in Eukaryota, Metazoa, Chordata, Actinopteri, Cypriniformes, Cyprinidae. The record is from RefSeq and is a predicted model, not a curated record. The transcript is spliced from 3 exons.